CGGUAGCACAGAGAGCUUGCUCUUGGGUGACGAGUGGCGGACGGGUGAGUAAUGUCUGGGAAACUGCCCGAUGGAGGGGGAUAACUACUGGAAACGGUAGCUAAUACCGCAUAACGUCUUCGGACCAAAGUGGGGGACCUUCGGGCCUCACACCAUCGGAUGUGCCCAGAUGGGAUUAGCUAGUAGGUGGGGUAACGGCUCACCUAGGCGACGAUCCCUAGCUGGUCUGAGAGGAUGACCAGCCACACUGGAACUGAGACACGGUCCAGACUCCUACGGGAGGCAGCAGUGGGGAAUAUUGCACAAUGGGCGCAAGCCUGAUGCAGCCAUGCCGCGUGUAUGAAGAAGGCCUUCGGGUUGUAAAGUACUUUCAGUGGGGAGGAAGGCGAUGAAGUUAAUAGCUUCGUCGAUUGACGUUACCCGCAGAAGAAGCACCGGCUAACUCCGUGCCAGCAGCCGCGGUAAUACGGAGGGUGCAAGCGUUAAAUCGGAAUUACUGGGCGUAAAGCGCACGCAGGCGGUCUGUCAAGUCGGAUGUGAAAUCCCCGGGCUCAACCUGGGAACUGCAUUCGAAACUGGCAGGCUAGAGUCUUGUAGAGGGGGGUAGAAUUCCAGGUGUAGCGGUGAAAUGCGUAGAGAUCUGGAGGAAUAUCGGUGGCGAAGCGGCCUCCCUGGACAAAGACUGACGCUCAGUGCGAAAGCGUGGGGGAGCAAACAGGAUUAGAUACCCUGGUAGUCCACGCCGUAAACGAUGUCGACUUGGAAGGUUGUGCCCUUGAGGCGUGGCCUUCCUGAGCUACCGCGUUAAGUCGAACCGCCCUGGGGAGUACGGCCGCAAGGUAAAA
This 845-nucleotide ribosomal RNA is filed under the name uncultured bacterium. RNAcentral describes it as "bacterial SSU rRNA". It matches the Rfam family "Bacterial small subunit ribosomal RNA", at positions 67 to 898 of the family's 1533-position model. The record is from RNAcentral.